UGGCGGCAACGCACGUGCACGUCGAUCGCAAACCAAUCCACACACCUGUGAACGUAUGGCCUCUCGGGUCCUUUUGGACUCGGGGCAAAACCCAUUUUUACUCUGAUCGUAAAGGAAUGUCUUUGCCUAAAGCGCAAAAGCAAACAACUUUCAACAACGGAUCUCUUGGCUCUCGCAUCGAUGAAGAACGCAGCGAAAUGCGAUAAGUAAUGUGAAUUGCAGAAUUCAGUGAAUCAUCGAAUCUUUGAACGCACCUUGCACCCUUUGGUAUUCCGAAGGGUACGCCCGUUUGAGUGUCAUUGUAAUCUCCCCCCCGGGAAUCUUUUCUGGGGAGUGGACUUGGACGUUGCCGUGUCACGGCUCGUCUGGAAUGUCUCAGUGCUACCCCGCCCGUCGGCGUAUACAGUGUGAUAAGUAUCUUCACUGGUCAGCUUCCUCGGAGGCGCGCUCUCGGACGGAUCGGUGUGCUGCCAACCGUCUUCGGACAAUACUCUGACAAUUUGACCUCAAAU
RNAcentral lists this ribosomal RNA (512 nucleotides) under mycorrhizal basidiomycete sp. A2. RNAcentral describes it as "eukaryotic LSU rRNA". The stretch from base 146 to 299 matches the Rfam family "5.8S ribosomal RNA". The record is from RNAcentral. Lineage: Eukaryota; Fungi; Basidiomycota.